UACAGAGGUCCCAAGCGUUGUUCGGAUUCACUGGGCGUAAAGGGUGCGUAGGUGGUCGGGUAAGUUGGGUGUGAAAGCUCGGAGCUUAACUCCGAAACGGCAUUCAAAACUACCUGGCUAGAGGGUCGGAAGGGAGACUGGAAUUCUCGGUGUAGCGGUGAAAUGCGUAGAUAUCGAGAGGAACACCAGUGGCGAAAGCGAGUCUCUGGACGACACCUGACACUGAGGCACGAAAGCUAGGGGAGCAAACAGG
Molecule: ribosomal RNA, 253 nt
Filed under: uncultured bacterium
Lineage: Bacteria
Description: partial 16S ribosomal RNA
Rfam family: Bacterial small subunit ribosomal RNA
Source: RNAcentral